CAUCCUGCGGGAGGCAGCAGUGGGGAAUAUUGGACAAUGGGCGCAAGCCUGAUCCAGCCAUGCCGCGUGAGUGAUGAAGGCCCUAGGGUUGUAAAGCUCUUUCACCGGUGAAGAUAAUGACGGUAACCGGAGAAGAAGCCCCGGCUAACUUCGUGCCAGCAGCCGCGGUAAUACGAAGGGGGCUAGCGUUGUUCGGAUUUACUGGGCGUAAAGCGCACGUAGGCGGACUAUUAAGUCAGGGGUGAAAUCCCGGGGCUCAACCCCGGAACUGCCUUUGAUACUGGUAGUCUUGAGUUCGAGAGAGGUGAGUGGAAUUCCGAGUGUAGAGGUGAAAUUCGUAGAUAUUCGGAGGAACACCAGUGGCGAAGGCGGCUCACUGGCUCGAUACUGACGCUGAGGUGCGAAAGCGUGGGGAGCAAACAGGAUUAGAUACCCCAGUAGUCCCAUGA
RNAcentral lists this ribosomal RNA (449 nucleotides) under uncultured organism. Its description in RNAcentral is "partial 16S ribosomal RNA". It matches the Rfam family "Bacterial small subunit ribosomal RNA", at positions 335 to 800 of the family's 1533-position model. The record is from RNAcentral.